GGGGGAGUUUUAGUAGGUAGGCGCCAAGGAUGGCGAAUCCUAAAUACUGCUGGUACGGGCCAGUAGUAUCUUUGGAAGAUUUCUAUCUCC
Non-coding RNA from Glossina pallidipes, 90 nucleotides. The record is from Rfam. NCBI's taxonomy places the organism in Eukaryota, Metazoa, Arthropoda, Insecta, Diptera, Glossinidae.